AUGGACAGGCUUACUUCCUCAUUCCUACUGCUGAUUGUUCCCUCAUAUGUCUUAUCCCAGGUUACUCUGAAAGAGUCUGCCCCUGGGAUACUGCAGCCCUCCCAGACCCUCAGUCUGACUUGCUCUUUUUCUGGAUUUUCCCUGGGCACUUCUAAUAUGGGUGUUGGUUGGAUUCGUCAGACUUCAGGGAAGGGCCUGGAGUAUCUGGCAACCAUUUGGUGGGAUGAUGAUAAGUACUUCAAUCCAUCACUGAAGAGUCAACUCACAGUCUCCAAGGACACCUCCAACAACCAAGCAUUCCUGAAGAUCACUAAUGUGGACACAGCAGAUACUGGCACAUACUACUGUACUCAGAGACCACAUUGGUGCCGCCUCACUUUUCGGUUGUACAAUAUUUCAGAAGGUCACUAUUAA
Rattus rattus (black rat) is the source of this 414-nucleotide non-coding RNA. The record is from the annotation of a RefSeq genome assembly. NCBI's taxonomy places the organism in Eukaryota, Metazoa, Chordata, Mammalia, Rodentia, Muridae.